Molecule: ribosomal RNA, 253 nt
Filed under: uncultured bacterium
Lineage: Bacteria
Description: partial 16S ribosomal RNA
Rfam family: Bacterial small subunit ribosomal RNA
Source: RNAcentral
UACAGAGGAUGCAAGCGUUAUCCGGAAUUACUGGGCGUAAAGCGUGCGCAGACGGUUGCGUAAGUCAGAUGUGAAAGCCCCGGGCUCAACCUGGGAACUGCAUUUGUGACUGCAUCGCUGGAGUGCGGCAGAGGGGGAUGGAAUUCCGCGUGUAGCAGUGAAAUGCGUAGAUAUGCGGAGGAACACCGAUGGCGAAGGCAACCCCCUGGGCCUGCACUGACGCUCAUGCACGAAAGCGUGGGGAGCAAACAGG